This 506-nucleotide ribosomal RNA is filed under the name uncultured Glomus. Its description in RNAcentral is "SSU rRNA". It matches the Rfam family "Eukaryotic small subunit ribosomal RNA", at positions 569 to 1080 of the family's 1831-position model. Lineage: Eukaryota; Fungi; Glomeromycota; Glomeromycetes; Glomerales; Glomeraceae. The record is from RNAcentral.
AGCAGCCGCGGUAAUUCCAGCUCCAAUAGCGUAUAUUAAAGUUGUUGCAGUUAAAAAGCUCGUAGUUGAGUUUCGAGACCGGUUUAUUGGUCGUGCUUUUGUACGUACUGGUAUUAUUGGUUUCUCCUUUCUGACGAAUCCUAAUGCCAUUAAUUUGGUGUUUUGGGGAAUCAGGACUGUUACUUUGAAAAAUUAGAGUGUUUAAAGCAGGCUCACGCUUGAAUACAUUAGCAUGGAAUAACGGAAUAGGACGUUUGAUUCUAUUUUGUUGGUUUCUAGGAUCGACGUAAUGAUUAAUAGGGAUAGUUGGGGGCAUUAGUAUUCAAUUGUCAGAGGUGAAAUUCUUGGAUUUAUUGAAGACUAACUACUGCGAAAGCAUUUGCCAAGGAUGUUUUCAUUAAUCAAGAACGAAGUUAGGGGAUCGAAGACGAUCAGAUACCGUCGUAGUCUUAACCAUAAACUAUGCCGACUAAGGAUCGGAUGAUGUUAAUUUUUAAUGACUCAUU